Molecule: non-coding RNA, 3572 nt
Organism: Oncorhynchus mykiss (rainbow trout)
Lineage: Eukaryota; Metazoa; Chordata; Actinopteri; Salmoniformes; Salmonidae
Source: RefSeq, a predicted model, not a curated record
AGAAAGAAUAGAUUUGAACGAGAGAGACGUUUCCCCUCUACUCGUAAACUGAUUACUUUUUACCUCUUGGUGGAACGACUGUCCAGAAAUUAUUGAAAACAAAUGGGGGCAUUUUGGUUUGUGGAGCUGGGUGUAUUAAUAUUAUUUCUCCAGGCGUUCAAACCAGGGUUGUCGGAGGAGUCAAAAUGUCUUCCAGGUUUCAAUUCAGAAAUGUACAUUUUCAAAGUGGAAAGAAAUCACUUACGAAGUGGCCGGAGUCUUGGAAAAGUGGUUUUUGAUGACUGCACCAUCCGUACCAGCUUUCUCUUUCACUCCGAGGAUUCACGCUUCAAAGUAGAUGGCGACGGGACGCUGAAACUGAAGAGGGGGCUGACUCUGCAUAAUGGACAUAAGGAGUUCUAUGUCUCUACCCAUUCCAAGGGCAAGAAGUUCACGGUUCCAGUCAGAGUGCUGCAUGAGGCCAGACAUGGCCACCACCACAAUCACCAUGAGAUGACCACCCAGCCCAAGCCAGGAGCAAGUCUGUCUCUACCUGUUCUGAACUUCCCUAAGUCUUCAGGAGGUCUGAAAAGAAGGAAGAGGGACUGGGUCAUUCCUCCCAUCAACUUCCCAGAGAAUGCCCGAGGCCCGUUCCCCAAGAAUAUGGUGCAGAUCAAGUCCAGCAAUGAUAAAGAGGUGAAGAUCCAGUACAGCAUCACUGGCACUGGGGCAGACCUACCUCCUGUGGGACUCUUCACUGUGGACAAAAACUCUGGAAUACUCUAUGUGACCCAGCCUUUGGACAGGGAGAAAAAAGACCAAUACAUUCUCCUAGCCCAUGCUGUUGCAGUGGGUGCAGGUAUAGCUGAGGAUCCCAUGGAGAUCAUUGUGAAAGUCAUCGAUAUGAAUGACAACAAACCUGUAUUUACACAAGAUCCAUUUACGGGAACAGUUCAUGAGGCAUCAAAACCAGGUGAUGAGGUCAUGCAGGUAACGGCCACUGAUACUGAUGAGGAGGGCUCUGCCAAUUCUGAUGUCAGAUACACCAUUCUCAGUCAGGAGCCUCCACUACCAAGCCCCAACAUGUUUGUCAUCAACCCUGUGACUGGAGGGAUUCGGGUUAACGCACCUGGGUUGGACAGAGAGAAAUUUACCAAAUAUACUUUGGCAAUCCAAGCUGCCGAUACGGAGGGAAAUGGCCUUACCAGCUUUGGCAAAGCCAUCAUUACAGUAACGGACAGCAAUGACAACGCGCCACAGUUUGUGACGCCUUCGUACACCGUGUCAGUCCCAGAGAAUAAAGUGGAUGCCUUGGUGGUGAAAAUGCCAGUGACUGAUGGAGAUGAGCCUCACUCCUCUGCCUGGGCCACCACCUACAAGAUAGUUGACGGGGACCCUCAAGGCCUUUUCAAUGUGUGCACAGGCCCUAGCAAGCUGGAGGGCACCAUUAUGACACCUGGAGCAAGUCUGUCUCUACCUGUUCUGAACUUCCCCAAGUCUUCAGGAGGUCUGAAAAGAAGGAAGAGGGACUGGGUCAUUCCUCCCAUCAACUUCCCAGAGAAUGCCCGAGGCCCGUUCCCCAAGAAUAUGGUGCAGAUCAAGUCCAGCAAUGAUAAAGAGGUGAAGAUCCAGUACAGCAUCACUGGCACUGGGGCAGACCUACCUCCUGUGGGACUCUUCACUGUGGACAAAAACUCUGGAAUACUCUAUGUGACCCAGACUUUGGACAGGGAGAAAAAAGACCAAUACAUUCUCCUAGCCCAUGCUGUUGCAGUGGGUGCAGGUAUAGCUGAGGUUCCCAUGGAGAUCAUUGUGAAAGUCAUCGAUAUGAAUGACAACAAACCUGUAUUUACACAAGAUCCAUUUACGGGAACAGUUCCUGAAGCAUCAAAACCAGGUGAUGAGGUCAUGCAGGUAACGGCCACUGAUGCUGAUGAGGAGGACUCUGCCAAUUCUGAUGUCAGAUACACCAUUCUCAGUCAGGAGCCUCCACUACCAAGCCCCAACAUGUUUGUCAUCAACCCUGUGACUGGAGGGAUUCGGGUUAACGCACCUGGGUUGGACAGAGAGAAAAUUCCCAAAUAUACUUUGGCAAUCCAAGCUGCCGAUAUGGAGGGAAAUGGCCUUACCAGCUUUGGCAAAGCCAUCAUUACAGUAACGGACAGCAAUGACAACCCUUCGUACACUGUGUCAGUCCCAGAGAAUAAAGUGGAUGUGACUGAUGGAGAUGAUCCUCACUCCUCUCCCUGUUCCACCACCUACAAGAUAGUUGACGGGGACACUCAAGGCCUUUUCAGUGGGAGCACAGGCCCUAGCAAGCUAGAGGGCAUCAUUACAACAGCUAAGCCGCUUGACUUUGAGAAGAAGAACAAGUACACUCUGCUGGUCACUGUGCAGAAUGAAGUCCCAUUCGCAAUCAGCCUGCCCACCUCCACUGCUACUGUUGUAGUGAAUGUGGAGGAUGUGAAUGAAGCUCCAGUCUUCACCCCAGUGGAGAAGAUUAUCAGGAAACCUGAGGACCUCCCUGUUGACAGUGACCUGGUUCUGUACACCGCCACAGACCCAGACACUGCAAGGAAUCAGAAAGUCACAUACAAGAUACGCAAUGAUCCUGCUGGAUGGCUAAAUAUCAACAAAGACACUGGGCUGAUCAAAGUCAAGAGCCUCAUGGACAGAGAAUCCACUUUUGUCCAAGACAACAAAUACUCUGUUGUUGUUCUGGGCAUCGACAACGAUGAAAUCCCGGCAACUGGCACUGGUACCCUUAUCAUAGAGCUGGAGGAUGUGAAUGAUAAUGCUCCAACCAUCGACGAGAGUGUGAUCAGGGUCUGCAACAAGGAGUCCUCCCCACAGCUGCUGUCAGUCACUGAUAAAGACAGCACGGGCUUUGCUGCUCCAUACACCGUACAGCUUCAGGGGUCGUCCCAUUCUAGCUGGACUGCCAGAAUGAACGACACAAAGACGGGCAUUAUCCUGACACUGAAGACUGUGUUGGACAGUGGAGAUUACAUGGUUGUCCUGAGAGUGUCUGACAACCAGGGCCUGCACCAUGACAGCACCAUCCAGGCCUCAGUGUGUGACUGCAAAGGAGCGGAUGUUCAGUGCACCGAUGAAGCUGCAACAGGCUUCGGCCUCUAGCAGUCUUACUACUCCUAUUGUUGUCUCUUCUGCUGCUCAUGUUCCUGCGGAAGAGAGGUGGUGAGAAGGAGCCUCAGGAGGACGAUGUCAUCUACUACUAUGACGAGGAGGGAGGUGGUGAGGAUGACCAGGUGAAAGGGACUCACCAGACUAGCUCAGAACAAGCCCAUUAGGUUCUCCCUAUAAAGACUAUCCUUAAGCAUGACAUUUAUUUUACUGAAAGCCUAAUCAGCCUUAGGAUUUUUUUGUUAACUGAGAUUAAUUAACAAGCUCAAUAAUUGCUUUUAAAAAUGUUUGAUAAACAUCUAAGUUUGGGUAUUUUUUAUUAUAAUCAAAUUGUUUUUUCUUUCUUGCUUCUGAAGAGUGAAUUAUGUAUAAAGGAUAUAUCCCUUUAGUACAAUGAUGGACAUGUGAUGGGUUGUCAUUUAUUUAAUAAAACUAACAUUUAUUCACUG